This 336-nucleotide unclassified non-coding RNA is filed under the name soil metagenome. RNAcentral describes it as "partial contains 5.8S ribosomal RNA, internal transcribed spacer 2, and large subunit ribosomal RNA". The stretch from base 1 to 120 matches the Rfam family "5.8S ribosomal RNA", at positions 35 to 154 of the family's 154-position model. The record is from RNAcentral.
GAUGAAGAACGUAGUGAAAUGCGAUAAGUAGUGUGAAUUGCAGAAUUCAGUGAAUCAUCGAAUCUUUGAACGCACAUUGCGCCGCUUGGUAUUCCAUGGGGCAUGCCUGUUCGAGCGUCAUUUGUACCUUCAAGCUUUGCUUGGUGUUGGGUGUUUGUCUCGCCUUUGCGUGUAGACUCGCCUUAAAAUAAUUGGCAGCCGGCGUAUUGAUUUCGGAGCGCAGUACAUCUCGCGCUUUGCACUCAUAACGACAGCGUCCAAAAGUACAUUUUACACUCUUGACCUCGGAUCAGGUAGGGAUACCCGCUGAACUUAAGCAUAUCAAUAAGCGGAGGA